CUCGAGAAGUUGUAUCUAAGUAACGACAAUCUGGCGUUGUAGCUUUGUUUGUUAUGAGACUGUGAGCGUUUCAGGGAAUUGUUUGUCAAGCGUAUAAACCUAGCCUGGUUAUUUGAGCGUGUGUGAGAUUUGUAAACAGAAUGAAAUCCGCUAAGAACACUAAAGUGAAACCUGCAGUAUCAUCUAAAGAAGAAGAGUGCGGAAUAUGGCUCGACACAAAAGAGUUAAAAGAAAAGAAACAGCAGAAACAACUGACCCGUCCAAUAUCCAAAUUACUGAACCCACUUGCGAGAUCAGGGGAAUACAGUGUGGCAGUGGCACUGAGCUUCACUCAGACCAAACUCAACAUGCCUAUCACUAGACAAAGCACAAUAUCAAAUUUAUUUUCACCCAAGUCCAGAGACCCUAACCCUAGUGUGGCUCAUUCUGGGAUGUCCAGCUUCAUGCACACAGAGCACGCACCGGGGCCAAACGGAAACAUGUGUCUUUGGAGCCAUCUACAGA
Molecule: long non-coding RNA, 504 nt
Organism: Sinocyclocheilus rhinocerous
Lineage: Eukaryota; Metazoa; Chordata; Actinopteri; Cypriniformes; Cyprinidae
Exons: 3
Source: RefSeq, a predicted model, not a curated record